Molecule: ribosomal RNA, 274 nt
Filed under: uncultured bacterium
Lineage: Bacteria
Description: partial 16S ribosomal RNA
Rfam family: Bacterial small subunit ribosomal RNA
Source: RNAcentral
AUACGGAGGGUGCAAGCGUUACUCGGAAUCACGGGGCGUAAAGCGCGCGCAGGCGGUCUUUUAAGUUGGAUGUGAAAGCCUACGGCUCAACCGUAGAACUGCAUCCAAAACUAUUAGACUAGAGUGUGGGAGAGGAAGAUGGAAUUAGUUGUGUAGGGGUAAAAUCCGUAGAGAUAACUAGGAAUACCAAAAGCGAAGGCAAUCUUCUGGAACACUACUGACGCUGAGGCGCGAAAGCGUGGGGAGCAAACAGGAUUAGAUACCCUAGUAGUCC